AUUGAACGCUGGCGGAAUGCUUUACACAUGCAAGUCGAGCGGCAGCGCGGGGGCAACCCUGGCGGCGAGCGGCGAACGGGUGAGUAACAUAUCGGAACGUACCCUGUCGUGGGGGAUAACCUAUCCGAAAGGAUAGCUAAUACCGCAUACGUCCUGAGGGAGAAAGCGGGGGAUCGCAAGACCUCGCGCGAUUGGAGCGGCCGAUAUCGGAUUAGCUAGUUGGUGAGGUAAAGGCUCACCAAGGCGACGAUCCGUAGCUGGUCUGAGAGGACGACCAGCCACACUGGAACUGAGACACGGUCCAGACUCCUACGGGAGGCAGCAGUGGGGAAUUUUGGACAAUGGGGGCAACCCUGAUCCAGCCGAUUCCGCGUGAGUGAAGAAGGCCUCGGUUGUAAGAC
This 401-nucleotide ribosomal RNA is filed under the name uncultured bacterium. RNAcentral describes it as "bacterial SSU rRNA". It matches the Rfam family "Bacterial small subunit ribosomal RNA", at positions 29 to 431 of the family's 1533-position model. The record is from RNAcentral.